This 263-nucleotide ribosomal RNA is filed under the name uncultured Staphylococcus sp. RNAcentral's name for it is "partial 16S ribosomal RNA". It matches the Rfam family "Bacterial small subunit ribosomal RNA", at positions 99 to 354 of the family's 1533-position model. Lineage: Bacteria; Bacillati; Bacillota; Bacilli; Caryophanales; Staphylococcaceae. The record is from RNAcentral.
CGGACGGGUGAGUAACACGUGGAUAACCUACCUAUAAGACUGGGAUAACUUCGGGAAACCGGAGCUAAUACCGGAUAACAUAUUGAACCGCAUGGUUCAAUAGUGAAAGACGGUUUUGCUGUCACUUAUAGAUGGAUCCGCGCUGCAUUAGCUAGUUGGUAAGGUAACGGCUUACCAAGGCAACGAUGCGUAGCCGACCUGAGAGGGUGAUCGGCCACACUGGAACUGAGACACGGUCCAGACUCCUACGGGAGGCAGCAGGG